UGGGGAAUAUUGGACAAUGGGCGCAAGCCUGAUCCAGCAAUGCCGCGUGUGUGAAGAAGGCCUUCGGGUUGUAAAGCACUUUCAGUGGGGAGGAAGGAGUAAAUGCUAAUACCAUUUGCUAUUGACGUUACCCACAGAAGAAGCACCGGCUAACUCUGUGCCAGCAGCCGCGGUAAUACAGAGGGUGCAAGCGUUAAUCGGAAUUACUGGGCGUAAAGGGUGUGUAGGUGGUUAUAUAAGUUAGAUGUGAAAUCCCCGGGCUCAACCUGGGAACUGCGUUUAAGACUGUAUAACUAGAGUACUGUAGAGGAUAGUGGAAUUUCCAGUGUAGCGGUGAAAUGCGUAGAUAUUGGAAGGAACACCAGUGGCGAAGGCGACUAUCUGGACAGAUACUGACACUGAGACACGAAAGCGUGGGGAGCAAACAG
This 428-nucleotide ribosomal RNA is filed under the name uncultured bacterium. Its description in RNAcentral is "bacterial SSU rRNA". It matches the Rfam family "Bacterial small subunit ribosomal RNA", at positions 355 to 775 of the family's 1533-position model. The record is from RNAcentral.